RNAcentral lists this ribosomal RNA (1329 nucleotides) under human gut metagenome. RNAcentral's name for it is "bacterial LSU rRNA". It matches the Rfam family "Bacterial large subunit ribosomal RNA", at positions 1103 to 2518 of the family's 2925-position model. The record is from RNAcentral.
GGCUUAGAAGCAGCCACUCAUUAAAAGAGUGCGUAAUAGCUCACUGGUCGAGUGACUCUGCGCCGAAAAUUUAACGGGGCUAAACUAUACACCGAAGCUUGGGAUACAUCUAAUGUAUGGUAGGAGAGCGUUCUGUAUGGGGAGAAGUCGUAGCGAAAGCGGCGGUGGACUAUACAGAAGUGAGAAUGCCGGAAUAAGUAGCGAGAAUUAAGUGAGAAUCUUAAUGGCCGAAAGUCUAAGGUUUUUGGAGGAAGGUUCGUCCGCUCCAAGUAAGUCGGGAGCUAAGGUCAGGCCGAAAGGCGUAGCCGAUGCACAUACGGUUGAUAUUCCGUAACCAUCUGUAAUUUAAGCAAAGGGACACUUCAAAAGGGUGUGACCCGGGCGUUGGUUGACCCGGGCGUAAGGGACCGAAAUUAGAGUAGGGAAGCACACUUAGCUGAAGGCGAGAAAAGCUUUGCGUAUAGAAGCAGAUGCCCGUACCGCAAACCGACACAGGUGGACAGGAAGAGAAUUCUAAGGCCAGCGGGAGAAGGGUAGUUAAGGAACUCGGCAAAUUGACUCCGUAACUUCGGAAUAAGGAGUGCUCGAAAGAGCCGCAGAGAAUAGGCCCAGGCGACUGUUUAGCAAAAACACAGGUCUCUGCCAAAUCGAAAGAUGAAGUAUAGGGGCUGACACCUGCCCGGUGCCGGAAGGUUAAGAGGAGGAGUGAGAGCUCCGAAUUGAAGCCCCGGUAAACGGCGGCCGUAACUAUAACGGUCCUAAGGUAGCGAAAUUCCUUGUCGGGUAAGUUCCGACCCGCACGAAUGGUGUAACGAUCUGGGCACUGUCUCAACUACCCACCCGGCGAAAUUGUAGUACCGGUGAAGAUGCCGGUUACCUGCGGCAAGACGGAAAGACCCCAUGGAGCUUUACUGUAGCCUGAUAUUGGGUUUCGGAAAUCUAUGUACAGGAUAGGCGGGAGACUGGGAAACAUGAGCGUCAGCUUGUGUGGAGUCGAUGUUGGGAUACCGCCCUUAGGUUUCUGGAAUUCUAACCUGCGGCCGUGAAUCCGGUCGGGGGACAUUGUCAGGUGGGCAGUUUGACUGGGGCGGUCGCCUCCGAAAAGGUAACGGAGGCGCUCAAAGGUUAGCUCAGCACGGACGGAAACCGUGCCUCUGAGUGUAAACGCAAAAGCUAGCCUAACUGCGAGGGUGACGGCCCGAGCAGUAACGAAAGUUGGAGUUAGUGAUCCGGCGGUAUGUGAAUGGAAAUGCCGUCGCUCAACGGAUAAAAGCUACCCUGGGGAUAACAGGCUGAUCUCCCCCAAGAGUCCACAUCGACGGGGAGGUU